Molecule: long non-coding RNA, 1092 nt
Organism: Nematostella vectensis (starlet sea anemone)
Lineage: Eukaryota; Metazoa; Cnidaria; Anthozoa; Actiniaria; Edwardsiidae
Exons: 2
Source: RefSeq, a predicted model, not a curated record
UAAUGCUCGUUUGUUCGUUUUUUUCCUAAAACCAAUCGCUCAGACUAAAACACCGUACCAGCUUUAGUAUGACGUCAAGAUGACAUAUCAAUGUCAUCUAUCCUUGUUUUGAUUGGCUAAAAUACCAUCUACUUGAAUUCCGAUUGGUUUAUAAUUUUGGCACUUGAAUGGCUUUUAUUCAACUGACAAUCGCCAUGAAGAUGUUAAAUUCGUAAAUACUUUCUUUCAAGUUCUAUAAAUUCAGGCGUAUAUUCCUCACGGUUAAACCAACCAAGGACUACCUGAGGGUCAUGCUUGAUGCUAAAGGCUGGAAGACAUAAGAAUAGGCAAAUGUAGCCGGGCUUUCUUACUUUGAUACAGCAGUAUAAGUUAAUAGGAUUUUUAGAGCAAGAUACUUUGUGUCAAUGAUACUGUAAAUCUGUAAAACAUUUUUUAUCAACCUGAAGAUAAUGAGGAAAGGGGAAAUGAUAGGAGAGUGCUCAAUCAAGUUGUUGCAAUACUGUUAAAGUUUUUAUCAAAAAUAUAGUCCCAGUUUCUUUUUUCUCUCUCUAUUGACUAUUUUUAUAUGCAAUUGAUAAUUAUUUGCUGUUUCCCCUCUGCACCCCGAAUAAAUUAAAAUAGGUUAGGUUUUAAAUUAGACAUUUUCAUUAAGCACUAAUCAGUAAUAUCAAGGAUUUGUUUUUAAUUUGCUUCCCAAGUCAAUUUGUUCUCCUCCAUUUGAUUGCAUUUAAUUUUGCAGUAGCAUUAGCAUGUGUGGAUCCAGCUGCAGGGUUUCUAUAAAAUAAAAUAGACAGCAGGCCACCAUGCUAAAGGGUGGGUUCACCAAUAUGUAAUGCAUGACUGAGGUAUAUUUGUGGAUUUUAAUUUCCUUGGUGAUGGAGUAUCACUAGUAAGUGGCACCUGAAGUGUAUCUAACUAUAUCACUCUAUAUUUGGAAUGCUGUUUCAUCCAUUAUUUGUUUCUUUGCAAGUGCAAAGCCGGUCAGAAUGUACCUAGUGCUAGUGUAGUAGUGUACAUGAAUGGAACUUCUAUAAAAGGGUUUUUAUUAGAGCAAGGUACUUACUUAAUAAAUUAUAUAAAGAUAAUAACAAA